RNAcentral lists this long non-coding RNA (11164 nucleotides) under Citrus maxima (pomelo). Its description in RNAcentral is "long non-coding RNA (CMAX_LNC004130)". The record is from RNAcentral. Lineage: Eukaryota; Viridiplantae; Streptophyta; Magnoliopsida; Sapindales; Rutaceae.
AAACCAGUAAAUAAAUCAUGAAGUUACACACUAGUCUGCUUUCGCACUCAUUCGGAACUAUCAAUGAUACUUACUGCAGGUAUGGUGUAUAAAUUAUACUAAAGUAAAGGCUGGAUCAAUAAGAAAUUCAAAAUGUUUCAUCACAUUUGGGGCUUGACGAUGCCAAAGAAAGACCAUACCAAUUAUCACGAUUGGUAAAAUGUGAACAAGAACAAGCAUACAUUCAAGAAAGCAGAGAAGCAUCAUUAAAAUAAAGCAUUCUUCUCACUAUUCUAUAUUGUUGGAAAAUGGACCAAAAUAAAAAAGAAACCAUAUAUGGAACGUCACAACAAGAAUAUUUGUGCAUUUGGAGAUCAUAGGAUAUUGGGAAGACAUCGGCAGAAAAGUACAAUUUUUUUUUCGUUGGGGGGGGGGGGGGGGAAGGAACAGAGAAGUGCAAGUCAAAAAGGAGAAAAAAUGAAAACAGAGAGAUGAAAAGGAAUGCAAUCUAAUUAAUCGUCUAAGGAGGCUACUAUGCUACAUUUAGCCAUUUGGUUGAAUAAGCAGCUUGUCUUCUAGUACAACUUUAAAUUUACCAAGAUUGAGAAUUUUCCUUCUGAAGAAAAGUAAUUUCUAUAGCGGCUAUUACCAUCUUCAUCCCAACGGUAAGCAGCUCCAUACUAAGGAAAGAGUGAAAUAGGUGUGCUUUACUUAUAGAAGCCCGUUCCUGUCCAGAGUGAUUAGUAAGUUGUUUCACCACGACCCCCAUUAUGGUGACUUAAAAAAGAAAAAAUAUAUAUAUAUAUUUGCCCAACACAGAAGUAGCACCCAAGAAGUCCUACUUAAGAGGCUUCAUACCCUGCACAAAUCGGAAAGGUUUUUAAAAUUUUCAUGUUCCAAAUGAAGAUUGCCCAUUAAAAAAUUACACACAUAAUGUAUGUAAACCAAUUAAAACAGAAAAACAAGGAUAACCCAGAAACAAUCCAACCAUCAAUAACAUAAAACUUUUUGUAAAUCUGGUAAAGUGAAUGAGAAGCAGAACAUACAUUUCACUUAAUAAUGAAAGAUACAUCUUUUAAUCAGUUUUUGCUCUCGCUUUAUUCUUGUGCUUCCUUCCAAUAACAAUUCAUAAUGCAGGUAGGUAUCUUAAAAAAUUAUAUCAUACAUUUCUCUUAUCAAAAGAAAUACAGUUGAUUAAUUGAACUGUAUUUCUAAAAAAAUUAUAUCAUACAAACAUGUCGUUUAUUAAUUGAAUUGUGGUCAUUAAUACACGCACACACAUGUAUGCUUAUGGUACAGUCACACCGAAUCUGUUAUAGACUAAUUAAAUACAAUAUGUUUUUACCAAAGUUGGUUAGUGUGAGUGGUUCGGUACUCUUACUCCUUAAGAGAGGUCAGGGGUUCAAGCCCCGCUCUCGUAUGGAAUCACCACUUUGGCCAGCACUUUACCCUUUACGGGCCAACCCGGUGAGAGCGGGGAUUAGUCUGGGUUGUGGUACGGACUUAAAGGUGCCUCCCACAGUUGGGGCACACUCAGAACCACCUUGUGGUUCAGACCAAAAAAAGUACAAUAUGUUUCUUUUACUAGCUAUAUGAUUGGAUCUUCAUUAAUGACCGAAGAAGAAAUUAUAACAACCCAUGCAAGUAUUAGUACUUCUCCUAAAGCUAAUAUUAAUGAAACAAAACAACUUCAAAUAUUUCCCAAUAAGCCACUAGAUCAGGAUCAAGUCCACAAUUCAAUAUUCCACAUGAUUUUUCCAUUUCAUCUGCAAUUACUAGAUUAAAAGGUAAUAAAAUUAAUUACUUAUCAUGCAUUCUAAAUCAUCCUUAAAUUUAAUAUGUUGGGUUCCAGCUGUAGGCAAAACUUUGGAUAAGUACAGAAAAAAAAUUAAAAAUGAGUAAAAAUGAAAAAGGAAGAAAAUAUCGAUCAAACCUCUUGUUCAAACGGAGGGGCGGCUAGUUUUUCCUUAAUACAAGUACAAAUUAUAUCAUACAUUUGUAAAACAAUUAUAUCGGUCUUAAUUCAUAAUGCAGGUAGGUAUUCUAUGAUCCAUCUAAUCUUUCUACACUUUUUUUUUGGUACUAGAAAAGCGAUAUUUAUAACGUAUCUCAAAAGAAAUACGGUCAAUUCUUACUGUUUUAGGAUAUAGUAUUUAAUUUGCAUUCAAACAUUUUCUCAUUUCAGCAAAGAUCCUAAAAAUUUAUUUUUUUAAUUCAAAUAUAAAUAUUAAAAAAAUCAGAUAUAAGUAUAAAAAAUAAUUUUUUUUUAAAAAAAGUUUUCAUAUGUUUAACAAUCAACGCUAAGGAACAUGAAAAGGAGCUAUUAAAACCCCGAAAAAAGAAUAAUUUUGAAACUAAAUACAAUUAAUUGAGAGAUGAGGACCAUAAGAUAAAUUGGGGAUAAAAACUAAAAUAUCAGCCCCUCGUUGCUGAUAGUUAUGAGUAUGAAAGCACAGAAGCCGUGUCUUGAUAAGUAUGGAGUUCGUGCGGAAUUUUCAGCUAGAAGUCUACAAAGCAGUGGAAUUAAUCAAUCAUCGUGGAGUGCACGGUGGUUGGACCAUGAGAUGAAAUUGAAAAGUUAUCACGGAACUUGAAGGAAGGUUCAUGGCAUCGAUUUAUUCUACAGAGUCACGCACAUUUGGUUCAAUAAUUGUUUUCAUCCGAAUCAAAAUCUCUCUCUAAUCAAUUCAACUGUUUCUGUUGAUUAUGGCUUCUUCUUCUCGAAACAACAAGAAGUAUGAUGUUUUUGUUAGUUUCAGAGGAGAGGACACCCGGGACAACUUUACUAGCCAUCUCUAUUCUGCUCUGUGUCGACAAAAUAUCCAAACUUUCAUUGAUGACCAACUUAACAGAGGAGAUGAAAUUUCGGAGUCACUUGCGAAUGCAAUUGAAGCAUCAGCCGUUUCAGUUAUCGUCUUCUCAGAGGGGUAUGCAUCUUCCAGAUGGUGUCUCGAUGAACUUGUAAAGAUCCUCGACUGCAAGAAGGAGUAUGCACAGCUUGUGAUUCCGGUUUUCUAUCGGGUUGAUCCAUCAGACGUGAGAAACCAAACUGGGAGUUUUGGAGAUUCAUUUUCGAAGCUUGAAGAAAGAUUAAAGGAGAAUACUGAGAAGCUGCGGAGUUGGAGGAAAGCUUUGAAGGAAGCAGCCAGUUUGUCUGGCUUUCAUUCUCUUAACAUCAGGUGAAAAGUUACUUUUAAUUUCGCAUACUAAUAUUCAACACUGUAAAUAAAAUUCACGCAGCACUCUUAGUUAAAUUUCCAGAUGCUAAACUACACUUUUAAAUUUUUUCAUGCGUCAAAUUCUAGACUUCUUGAACUUCCCCACUUUUGAACUAUAAAAGAAUUUUUGCAGAAUUGAUAAUACAAAAGCUCCAGAAGUUUACAAUAUAUUUUAACAAAAUUAAUGGUGUUCUGUCGUUUUUUAAUCAAUUUCAAUCUCUUACUCAUAUACCAAUAGGAAAAAAAAAAUCUCUUCCACAUAUAACAUAUUCCUGUAAUUAAAGAGUUAUUAAUUUAUAGGGAGAUUGUAAAUUCCCUUACUCAAAUUAAUAUAUGAGUAUUGAUAUAGCCACAAAUUCUUGUACAAAAUCAUUUUGCACAAACUGAUGUGGUGUUAAUUCAUUGGUUGAAUUAAAUAUCUCUUGGCCCACAUGAUUUAUUUCUAUUAUUUUAUAUUUUCAUUCAACCAAUGAAUUAAUGACACAUCAGUUUGUAUAAAAUAAGUUUGUACAAGAGUUUGUGGUUGUAUCAUCACUCUUAAUAUAUACCACUUAUUCUGACUAUUUUUACAAUAUUUAAUAACUCUCCUGGUACCAUCACUUUGCAAUAUUAUCCUUCUGAAAAAAAAAUAAGUGGUAUAUAUUAAUUUCAAUUGGAAAACUAGCAAUCUCCCUUAUUUCAUAUUUGAUGCAAAUCCCUCCUAUUUGAAGCUACUGCUGCUAAUUUUAUGUAUUUGGCAGGCCUGAAUCAGAACUUAUAAACGAAGUUGUUAAUCACAUUUUGAAGAGACUGAUGGAAGAAGUGUUUCGGCCGCGUGAUAACAAAAGCCAGCUGGUUGGAGUAGAAUCAAGAGUUGAGGAAAUUGAAUCUCUACUAAGUGUUGAGUCGAAAGAUGUUUACGCUUUAGGGAUUUGGGGCAUUGGUGGUAUAGGCAAAACAACAAUCGCUAGAGCUACUUUCGACAAAAUCUCUAGCCAUUUUGAAGGUUCUUGCUUCCUUGAAAAUGUUAGAGAAGAGUCACAAAAACCGGGAGGAUUAGCUUGCUUGCGACAAAAACUUCUUUCAAAUUUAUUGAAAGAUAAAAAUGUGAGUCUUGAUAUUGGUCUCAAUUUUAGGAGGCUCAGCCGCAUGAAGGUUCUGAUUGUUUUUGAUGAUGUGACUUGCUUCAGCCAAUUAGAAUCUAUAAUUGGAAGUCUUGAUUGGUUGACGCCUGUGAGUCGAAUCAUAAUAACCACCAGAAAUAAACAAGUGCUUAGAAAUUGGGGGGUGAGUAAAAUAUAUGAGAUGGAGGCAUUAGAAUAUCAUCACGCUCUUGAGCUUUUCAGUCGACAUGCCUUCAAACAAAACCAUCCUGACGUUGGUUACGAGGAAUUUUCAAGCAAGGUAAUGAAAUAUGCUCAAGGUGUUCCUUUAGCUAUUAAAGUUUUGGGUUGCUUUCUAUAUGAAAGAGAAAAGGAAGUCUGGGAAAGUGCAAUAAAUAAAUUGCAAAGAAUCCUCCAUCCAAGUAUCCUAGAGGUAUUAAAAAUAAGUUACGAUAGUUUGGACGAUAAGGAGAAAAAUAUUUUCCUUGAUGUUGCUUGUUUCUUUCAAGGCGAGGAUGUAAAUCUAGUAAUGAAAUUCCAUAAUGCAAGCGGUUUCUACCCAGAAAUAGGAAUAAGCGUUCUUGUUGAUAAAUCUCUCAUUGCUAUUGGUUCAUACAACAAGAUAAGAAUGCAUGAUUUACUACAAGAGUUGGGUAGGGAAAUUGUUCGACAAGAAUCUAUUAAUCCUGGAAAUCGCAGUAGGUUGUGGCAUCAUGAGGAUAUCUAUGAAGUUCUUACAUAUAACACGGUAAGCAGUUUGUUGUGGAUAAUUAUUUUGAAAUAUUCUAGCAUUUACAAACUUGAUAUGAAUAUAUUUAUAUAUGCUCGAACUGAUGAGUCUUAGAAUUAAUAGAAGAGCAACAAUGAUUAGAAAAAACCAUAUCCGUUAGAUGACGUAGCAAUAAAUUAUAAAUGCCAUGACAACUUGCAUAAUCGUUUGCAAGCAUAAUUGAUAUGCAAUUUGUAUGGUACACAGACGGAAUUUUUAUAUUAAGUAUUACUUGUGUUAUUAUGUUUCUUUGUGCAUUUGCAAUUAAAAGUUUAACUGCCUAGCAAUAACUAAAAACAUGAAUUAUUGAUUUGAGAAAUGAUGAAGAGUCCACUCCAAUCCCACAUAAACUCGACUAAAUAAUAAAUAAAAAGUUGAAUUAUUAACUAAGCUACCUCUAAUUGUGAAUUAGUGAGAAACUUGCCCCAAAAAUUUGACUUGGUGGGGUUGAAGUGCGAUUCAUUGGUGGAAUACACAUAUCUUUCAUUUGAUUUUAACUUUAUUGCUUUUUCACUUAUUUUCAAGGGACAGAAAAAAUUGAGGGCAUAUGUUUGGAUAUGUCAAAAGUAAAAGAGCUCCGUCUAAAUCCCAAUACUUUCACAAAGAUGACUAAAUUGAGAUUUUUAAAGUUCUAUACUUCAUUAUUCAAUGGAGAGAACAAAUGUAAGAUGUCUUAUUUGCAAGACCCUGGAUUUGCUGAAGUGAAAUAUCUUCGCUGGCAUGGAUAUCCGUUGAAGUCAUUUCCCUCAAACCUCAGUGCAGAGAAGCUUAUGUUACUUGAAGUGCCUGAUAGUGACAUUGAACAACUUUGGGAUUGUGUGAAGGUAUGCAUAUCUUAUUAUAUAUGUGCAAUCUCUCAAUAACAACAUUAAAUUAUUAUACGUGGUAACGGUUUUGUCUUGGCCUCUUUUUUGACCGAGCAGCAUUAUAGUAAGUUAAACCAGAUAAUCCAUGCUGCCUGCCAUAAGCGAAUUGCCAAAAUUCCAAAUCCCACGUUGAUGCCACGUCUGAACAAGCUAGUUACGUUGAAUCUAAGAGGUAGCAAAAGCCUGAAAAGUCUUCCAUCUGGAAUAUUUAACUUGGAAUUUCUUACCAAACUUGAUCUUUCGGGCUGCUCAAAACUGAAAAGGCUUCCAGAGAUCUCAUCAGGUAAUAUAAGCUGGUUAUUUUUUAGGGGGACUGCAAUUGAAGAACUACCCUCAUCAAUUGAGCGUCUACUUAGGGAACAUUGCAUACCUGAGGCAGCAAUAACACUUCCAACAAAGUUACCUAUAAGCACAGUUGGCUUCUUAACAACUUCAUCCAAGAAAUCCAAUAUUAGCUGUAUCAGUGAAUCUCACUCAAGUUAGCAAGGAAAAUAACUAAAGGUCAAGCGAUUGAUGACAAAAGAUCCAACUUCUGGCUAGGGAACAUUGCAUACCUGAGCCCAUCCCUCCAUGGUAUAUGAAUAACCAGCUGGCUUAUCUGAAGCACCAAAUCCAAGAAGGUCAAUUGCAUAAACCGUGUAGCUCUUUGCCAGGGUGCCAAUAUUCCUGAAAUUACCUCAGAGAUGACAAGAAAAAUAUCAAUUCCUCACGUUAUUUAAUAGGAUAAAGGAAUGGUGCACAAGCAAAUUUUCAUUCCCCUUUUCAAUGGAGCAGUAAAAUGAAUACUUUUUCACUAGAUUAAGAAUCGGAAAAUGGAAGAAGCCUAUAUCCAUAAAAGGGUAAUAUGAAAUGGAACCCUGAAACUCAGGUCACCGGUUUCUCAUCAUCUAUGUGCAAGGAAUAGAACUAGGUGUUAAUGCCAAUGAACCAGGAAAUAACGAAGAGAUUUAACUUCAUUAUUCUUUUGCUUCAUUCAUCUUAAUUAAUUAUUAGAAGUAUAACACAUAUAAAUGCAUCCCUGAACUUCAUAAUACAUAACAGAGUCAGAGAUAUUACAUACAUAAGGGAAAGACAUGCUCCAUACCAAAAAAAAAUAUAGUCGAAAAUGCCCAGAACGUAAUUUGAAUUAACCCGCUACACAAUUCACAACAAGAAAGAGCAAUCUUAUCUCGCUAACCUGCGCCAGUGAGGAAUGGAGGCACCAAAGCCAUGGACAAGGAGUAGAGGAGGAGAAUUGGGAUGUGAAUUUGGACUUGAAGAAACCAAGUAAUUGAUGGAGUACUGACCCUUCCAUUUCCACAUUUUGCAACUCUCCCUUACCUCAUUAACCUCCAAUUCCAGUGCAGCAGAAGCAGAAUCCCCUCCACUGCUACUGUUAGUAUAACUGAUGGUAACAUUUUGUCUCUUCUUCUUCUCCUUAUUCCUCUGCUGGAACUGCAACUGAAACUGCCAACUCUUAUUGCUCAAUAGGGGCAAGCGCAGGCCUUUUACAUCUCCAUUUCCAUUUCCAAUCCUGAGUGUUGUUAUUGGAAUAAUGAAAGAGGGAGCCCGAGCCCUUACCAUCCACACGCUCAUUCUUUUCUUGCUUUUUCAAUUGAAUAUUUUCUGUGGCCUGGCUUGGCCUGCUCCUCCCCUGCUUCCACUAUUAUAUGAAAAUUUUACUGAUAUUCCUCAAAAAUCAAGAUGGUAAUACUUCGUCUGAAACGAAUAUCAGGUGCUUUACUAAAAUACUCCGGGUGAUUGGUAUUUCCGUCCAAUAAUUUUUGCAAACUCAUCCCAUUUUUUAAAAAAUAAUUAUAAAACAUACAUGCUAUGCUUAAAAAUUUUCAAACAAAGAAGAACUUUGUAGAAGUAAUUAACUAAAUUUAUUUUAGUUUACUUUCUCCUGAUUUAGAUUAUUUUAUUAUAUUUGGUUACAAAGAUUGCUUUGUCAUAAAUUUAAAUUGAUUAUUUUACCCUUAUAAGGUAAAACUAUUAAGAAUUUACUUUAACUUUAAUAUUUUUCUAAUUUUGUACCAAACUUAUUGUUUCUAAUACUAUUUUAUUAGUAUGAGUUUUAAUUAUUGGGAUGUCAAUUUUAUGUAAUUUACACAUAAAAGUAAAGAAAAAACAAUUAAAUUUUAUUUAAAAAUAUUAGAUUAUAAGCUAGAUACAUAAAUUAUUAGAUACAAUAACUCAUGUUUAUUAUGGUAAUUUAGUCGCUAUAUAUCAUAACAAUAAAUUUCUAAAAUAAAACUUGUAUUAAAGUUUAUGAUUAAAGAUGGUCAAAAAACCCAAGAAAAAAAUUAAUAGAAGGAUUUAACUGAUUAACUAUACAAAAUUUUUAUUAAUUUGUAUUUUUUUAAAAAAUAUUGUGAAUUCAUUGCAAUUAGUUUCUAGAAGUAGGGUGGAUUUACAAAAUAGUGGGGUGCAAAUACCCUUACCCAAAUACUCCAUAAAAAGUAAAACUAUUACCUUUUUUGAUGUACUUCUCUUGAAUUUUUUAUUUCUAAGGAUAAAGUUUAAUUCAUUCCCAAAUAAAAUGAUAAUCUCUAAUUUGCUCUCAAUGUAAACCUCAAUUUAUUCUUCAUUUCCGUCCAAAAGAUGAGGGGCAAAUAAGGAAUGUGUUGAUGUUUUUCUUUUUGUUUUAAUCUUCUUAACAAUAAAUGGGGUAAAUUGAUAUUUUUAUAUUUUUAGGUGAUAAAUUAAAGAUUUUCAUUUUAAAUUGGGGCCAAAUUAAAAUCUAUCCUAUUUCUAAAGGCACCAUGUGAUUUGGCGAAAUAACUAUAAAGAUAUUUUGUUUUUAGAAAAUGUCACACAUGUCUCUUUUGAGAUACACAAACUCUUUUUUAGCUAAAAGAUUGGGAUUUGUGUGAUUAUUUCUGAACCAAAAGGUUUGUGUUUUAAAAAAAAUGAUUAUGUGACUGUUUUGCCUAACCGAGAGGGUCAUUAUUCAAACACCAAUCACAUUUUUGUUUUAAAACACCCUUUCAUUUAUUCUUUAAGCUUCUUUUUUUUUUUUCCCAAAAAAUGAUGAAUAGAUAUUGAAAAUUUUGUUUUCAUUUUUUAUUGAAAAAAAUGAAAAACACCAAAUAUUACUGCUUCCUUGUCCAUACUUUUUCGUCCUAUAUUACCUUAAUUUUAUAUCAUUUUCUCUAUUUCUAUUUUUAUAGUCCAAUUCUGAAAAUACACUAUUAGACACAUUUUUAAAUUGAAAAAAACCAAACAUAGUGCAUCAUUUUCAUUAUAAGCAUUAACACCUGACGUACACAUUCUCCAAAUGGGAUUAAUGGAAAAAAAAAAUGGUGACUCCUUCAGAAAUGAAGUUGUACAAUUAGUUUGAAUUGAGUCGAUACAGAGACGUCUCCAUUGCGUCAUCUGUUUAACUGUCUUGUGCAACCUUAUUCUGUACUAGGUGGAUUCCACAUUGGCCAAGUAUAUGCAUAGUUCCUGGUUUAUUCAAGGUCUUAAAGAGAAGUCCAAUCUUACAGGUUCGUUAACAUUUUAAAGGUAAGUUUUAUCUUGUAACAUUCACACAAAAUUUAUAAUCAACUGGGGCGGAAAUUUUGAAAAUACUAUGAUUAGCACAACCAUUUCAACAAUAAAUGAUGUAAUAAAAGCUCAUUAAGUUUAAACUUGAAAGGAAAAUUAGGGCAAGGUCAUUUCUUUAAAAAGAAUAAGGCAAGAUGAUGCACGGCAUGAAAUACCUGUGACCAAGCCUCAAAAGAUUCAUCAAGCCCAGUAUUUUGCUUGCCCUCGGCAUAAUUACACUUGGCUUCCCAAACAAAUAAUUGCUGGAGCUCGGAUAGAGGGCAGGAAGAAUUAACUACAAAACCACCAGAUUUAUCGUGUUUUUGUCCUGUUAAUUAAUUGUUUUCAAUUAACACGGUAACCCGGCUCGGGUGUUAACUCUGUUUCUGUCAGUGCUCUGUUGAAUAUUUCUGUUUAAAAAUCAGCACUCGCAUGUAAGUAGUAUGGCAGCAUCAAAAUCUCACGUGUAAUAAUUAGGCUAUUAGUUCUGGGUCCAGGAAUCGAGAGAAUCAGAUUUGGUGCAAAAGCUAUAUGUACCAAUUUAUGUAGCCAUGCAUAAUAUAUUCAUUUUUUACUUGCAAAUUCUUCAUUUUCACAACUUUAGGUACAACUUUUCCUUUCCUUUUGAAGGCCCACUCCACUGGCAUAGAGAGUAAAAAGAGUUUCUUAUAAAUAAUUUUAGGAGGAUGCUUCUGCCACGACAAGUAAUACCAUAAACAAAUGAUUUCACCACAUUUCAAGAAAGCAUUUAACUUAUGCCUCAUUUUCAUUGUAGAAAUUUGCUUGCCAUUGGCUGAUUGGAAAAAGUGCAUUUAAGUGAUAGAUCCCUACCUAUAGCACGAAUAGGGGUUAAACAAAGUAAAUCCGUACCUUUACAUAUCAAAUAAAAGACUUUCAUAAUAUCAAAUAUCAAAACUCAUGUCUAGUAAAGGAUUCCCCAAUGCUGGCUCUCAAAAUUGCUUUUGUUUCAUGGAUGAGAUGAUCGUUUUUGUGGAUAUUCUGCUCAACUUGGAUUAUGACUUGGGUCAGAUCCCAACUUGCUGCAAAGCUCACCUGACUAAAUCUUAGUUGAUUUGCUUUUCCAAACUAAAUCCAAGCAAGUAAGUACAAGAGAUAAAAGCAAAAGUUCAAGCAUCUCAUUUGAGCCUGUCACUAACAAAUGGUCAACGAGUAAUGUCUAGCUAUGACUGAGCAACAGAAUCAAUAAACAGACAGACAAAAAAUAAUAAUCAAGUCAUCUGUCAAAUGCUAGUCCAUGAAAAUCAUAUAUAUAUAUAUAUAUAGGAGGCUGUUCCAAUCCGGGAGUCCCGGAUUGGAACAGCACUCUAUUAAUUUUUUUGGUUUGGCUGCACAUGGUGGAGGUGGCCUUUGGAUUUGAAUCCAAAGGCCACCAGCCUCCCUCCCGGACAUUGUUCCAAUCCGGGAUUCUGGAUUGGAACAGCACUCUAUAUAUAUGUAUGUAUGUAUAUGUAUAUGUAUGAUCCUUCAUUUCUCAAUCAACCACCAAAUUGAUGUCAACAAAGCCAUGAGGAUUGUCUCACAAGUCUUUCAAUUUCCCUCUCUUUAGGCCAGAGACCAGUAAACCAUUUGAAAUAUGGAUGUGCAGGUAUGGUGUAUACAUUAUACUAAAGUGAAGGCUGGAUCAAUAAGAAAUUCAAAAUGUUUCAUCACAUUUGGGGCUUGAUGAUGCCAAACAAAGACCAUACCAAUUAUGAUGAACAGUAAAAUGUGAACAAGAAC